Molecule: ribosomal RNA, 392 nt
Filed under: Pantoea agglomerans
Lineage: Bacteria; Pseudomonadati; Pseudomonadota; Gammaproteobacteria; Enterobacterales; Erwiniaceae
Description: bacterial LSU rRNA
Rfam family: Bacterial large subunit ribosomal RNA
Source: RNAcentral
CCCAGAGCCUGAAUCAGCUUGUGUGUUAGUGGAAGCGUCUGGAAAGUCGCAGGGUACAGGGUGAUACUCCCGUACACAAAAACACACAUGCUGUGAGCUCGAUGAGUAAGGCGGGAUACGUGGUAUCCUGUCUGAAUAUGGGGGGACCAUCCUCCAAGGCUAAAUACUCCUGACUGACCGAUAGUGAACCAGUACCGUGAGGGAAAGGCGAAAAGAACCCCGGCGAGGGGAGUGAAACAGAACCUGAAACCGUGUACGUACAAGCAGUGGGAGCCCUCUUUAUGGGGGUGACUGCGUACCUUUUGUAUAAUGGGUCAGCGACUUAUAUUCUGUAGCAAGGUUAACCGUAUAGGGGAGCCGCAGGGAAACCGAGUCUUAACUGGGCGUUAAGU